RNAcentral lists this long non-coding RNA (319 nucleotides) under Zea mays. RNAcentral's name for it is "long non-coding RNA (ZMAY_LNC000545)". Lineage: Eukaryota; Viridiplantae; Streptophyta; Magnoliopsida; Poales; Poaceae. The record is from RNAcentral.
UUUCAUAUGUGCAUGUGAAGCGGAUCAAGAAUCAGCUUUGAUUUGGCUAAGAAAUGAGAUGACUUAGUAGGUAUGAUAUUUGUGUCUUUACCUUCCACUCAACCAUAUUCACUUGGGCCUUUAUAUUCCAAUCUAAUUGUUCCAUUUGUUUGGACAGGUUUGGGUGAUCAAUCGGUGAUGCUUAGCACAUCUGGAGGUUUCUUAUUUUGAAUUGACAUGCUUAGUUCUAAAGUGAUGUUUCUUCUUAGCACAUCUGUUCUAUCUCUUAGAUGUUGAAGAUGUCAGUCUAUCAAGAUUGCUCUUUGCGUUUGUUGGCAAG